AUUUAUGGCCAUACCGCCCUGAGCAGCCCCAGUCUCUGAUCUUGGAAGCUAAGCAGGGUUGGACCCGGUUGGUACUUGGAUGGGAGAGCGCCUGGGAAUACCGGGCGCUGUAGGCU
Molecule: ribosomal RNA, 116 nt
Filed under: Mesitornis unicolor (brown roatelo)
Lineage: Eukaryota; Metazoa; Chordata; Aves; Mesitornithiformes; Mesitornithidae
Source: RNAcentral